GAUGAACGCUAGCGGCAGGCCUAACACAUGCAAGUCGAGGGGCAGCACAGAAACAGCAAUGUUUUGGUGGCGACCGGCGGACGGGUGCGUAACGCGUAUGCAACCUACCUUUAACAGGGGGAUAACGGAGAGAAAUUUCCACUAAUACCCCAUAACAUCGAUCAAGGCAUCUUGAUUGGUUGAAAACUCCGGUGGUUAAAGAUGGGCAUGCGUUGUAUUAGGUAGUUGGUGAGGUAAUGGCUCACCAAGCCUACGAUACAUAGGGGGACUGGGAGGUUAGCCCCCCACACGGGUAAUUGGGACCGGACCAGACUCCUACGGGAGGCAGCCGUUGGGAAUAUUAGUCAAUGGGGGCAACCCUGAACCAGCCAUGCCGCGUGCAGGAAGACGGCUCUAUGAGUUGUAAUCUGCUUUUAAACAGGGAUAAAGCACAGUAUGUAUACUGUGUUGAAGGUACUGUAAGAAUAAGGAUCGGCUAACUCCGUGCCAGCCGCCGCAGUAA
This 502-nucleotide ribosomal RNA is filed under the name uncultured bacterium. RNAcentral's name for it is "partial 16S ribosomal RNA". It matches the Rfam family "Bacterial small subunit ribosomal RNA", at positions 28 to 523 of the family's 1533-position model. The record is from RNAcentral.